RNAcentral lists this small nuclear RNA (145 nucleotides) under Erinaceus europaeus (western European hedgehog). Its description in RNAcentral is "U2 spliceosomal RNA". It matches the Rfam family "U2 spliceosomal RNA". From Rfam's summary of the family: U2 is a small nuclear RNA (snRNA) component of the spliceosome (involved in pre-mRNA splicing). Complementary binding between U2 snRNA (in an area lying towards the 5' end but 3' to hairpin I) and the branchpoint sequence (BPS) of the intron results the bulging out of an unpaired adenosine, on the BPS, which initiates a nucleophilic attack at the intronic 5' splice site, thus starting the first of two transesterification reactions that mediate splicing. The record is from Rfam by way of RNAcentral. Lineage: Eukaryota; Metazoa; Chordata; Mammalia; Eulipotyphla; Erinaceidae.
ACUGUUUCUUGGCCUUUUGGCUAAGAACAAGUGUAGUAUCUUUUUAUUUUCUUCUUUUAAAAUUUAUUUUACUAAUGUAAUAAUUGCCAGCAAGACCAUAGAAUAAGAAGGGUACACAAUCCCCACCACCAGAAUUCCUUAUCCC